RNAcentral lists this long non-coding RNA (722 nucleotides) under Anas platyrhynchos platyrhynchos (common mallard). RNAcentral describes it as "lncRNA (ENSAPLG00000025823.1)". Lineage: Eukaryota; Metazoa; Chordata; Aves; Anseriformes; Anatidae. The record is from RNAcentral.
CCGCCCCCUUUGAAUGUAUGAGCAUCUGCUGAAUCAAGCCAUAGACUGCACAGCAAACCAUACAAUGCUAUUAUGUGUGUUAGCCUUAUCCAUGCAGACGGUAGUGAGGUAGCGAGUUGAUUUGCGUUAACCUGAGUGCCCGUCACCUGGGCGCUUCCACCACCUGUAAUGCCAGAUCGGUGAGCCUGGAGAUCAGCCCACUGAGCUAUUCCACCAGUAGCAGGCAGAGCAAGCUUUUAUGCUGAAUUAACCAAAAUACAAAACUUUGGAGCAUAGAUUUUUCUCCUUUUAUGCUGGCUUUGCAUCCAUUACAAAGAUGUCUGUUCAUUCUUAGCUAAAAUACUAACCCCAAAAUGCAACAAAGCAGCAGAAGUUGAUACUAGAUCAGCACCAUUGUGUCACACAGACAGGGCAGUUUUGAUUGCUGUUGGAAGAUGGAAAGCUGGAUUCACAGAAGAUUAUUGAAACCACUGCCUGACACAUGAGUGAUAGGAGCUUGGUGUAAAUCUUCAGAAUGAAUGUUUUAUGUGUUGUGAUCACGUGUUUACCUUGUGGAAAAUAAAACACAAAGGAGAGCAACAAACCUCAAACUUCAGUCAGACUAUAGCCUCUUUGGAAAUUCUUUGGCACAGAUACAAGUUCAUGUUCCUGCUCCCUAACUCUCCAUCAUCUGCUGCAUGUUGCUGGAUUGCUGGGCUCAAAUCCUCUAGCAUCUGCUUCUU